AUAACUCUUGAUUCAGGGAAUAUUUGGCAGAGAUCAGUGCCUGCUCAUCAAACUGUGGGAUCUCAAUGGGGUCCUCAGGCGUCAGUGCCAAGUCAAAGCCAAAUUGGGCAAGGACAGUCACCAUCCACAUGUUUAGUAUACAACCAAGGAGAUAAUCCAAUUUCCCAAGAAACUCAAACCUCAGGGACAAGUCUUACAGAGUCAGAGAUAUUACACAAUGAUCCCUCCAAACAAACAGCUGCAACUGCAGAUCCACCACCCAUCUCACAUGAGUCAGACUCUGGAUUGAGUUCAACCAGGAACAAUGACGUGGGUGUGGCUAUAGCUAGUAACUCUGCUGAUCAGUCAGAAGAUACUAGCACUCUUCCUGAGGUAAGUAUCAUCCACCUAAAGGUGACUUAACAUAUAAAUCAUGAAAGCUCCCUUUUGAAUGACACCCUCAGCUUAGGGAUUAAGGGAGACAAAAUUAGGUACUGGUGAAUGCGCAUUUGGAGGGAAAGUAUUAGACUUUCACAUGGGGGUAGGUUGUAAGGGAUAAGUUUAUGUUUGACUUCUAAAUGUCUACUCAGCAAACAAAAUUGUACGAGAAAAUGGGCCAAAACAAUUUCCUACAACUGCAUCCUUAGUCUGGUCUUCAUUCUCAGGAACUUAAAGCCUGAUCAAUUCAUGUUCAUUUAGAGCAUCUGGGUGGAUAGAGGUUAACAGCAUGGCAGUUUUCAGCAAUUUACAUUUUCAUCAGAGCUUUCACAAUCAAUCUUUAAGACUUGCAGUAAUUUCAUAUAUAUCCCAAGAAUUAAUGACCAUGCAAUUUCUUUAAUUUUGUUUCCAAAUUAAGUGAACUCAUUUUUGAGAGUAUUCAGAUUUUUAUUGAGAUUUGUACCAAAUUUGAUCGUGUAAGAGAGAUCGAGUUGGAGAUUUGUUGCUUAUACCCUCAUGCCUCAUAAUGGCACAAUUGAUAUAUGGACCUGAAAUGCCCUAUCUUCUAUGGGAACAAAAGGCAAUUCCAACUCCAGGGUCAUUCUUAAUUUUUUUAGUGCGCAUGUAUGUUAGUACCGUAAUACUUGGUACGGACAACUCAUCUUAUCUUAUCAACUUAUCUUCUUCUUAACUGAUUAUUUCAUUAAUGAAUAAUUCUUCAGCACAGAUGUAGAUAAACAGAUAAAAGAAAGAUAAAGUUCUUGGGCUUAUAAUGGGCAAGAACAAUACAAGA
This is a long non-coding RNA of Pocillopora damicornis (cauliflower coral), 1210 nucleotides long. NCBI's taxonomy places the organism in Eukaryota, Metazoa, Cnidaria, Anthozoa, Scleractinia, Pocilloporidae. The record is from RefSeq and is a predicted model, not a curated record.